CACGUAGGGCGCGAGCGUUGUCCGGAAUUAUUGGGCGUAAAGAGCUCGUAGGCGGCUUGUCACGUCGGGUGUGAAAGCCCGGGGCUUAACCCCGGGUCUGCAUUCGAUACGGGCUAGCUAGAGUGUGGUAGGGGAGAUCGGAAUUCCUGGUGUAGCGGUGAAAUGCGCAGAUAUCAGGAGGAACACCGGUGGCGAAGGCGGAUCUCUGGGCCAUUACUGACGCUGAGGAGCGAAAGCGUGGGGAGCGAACAGG
Molecule: ribosomal RNA, 253 nt
Filed under: uncultured bacterium
Lineage: Bacteria
Description: partial 16S ribosomal RNA
Rfam family: Bacterial small subunit ribosomal RNA
Source: RNAcentral